This is a long non-coding RNA of Patella vulgata (common limpet), 570 nucleotides long. RefSeq lists it as uncharacterized. The record is from RefSeq and is a predicted model, not a curated record. NCBI's taxonomy places the organism in Eukaryota, Metazoa, Mollusca, Gastropoda, Patellidae. The transcript is spliced from 3 exons.
CUGAUAUCGGGCACAGCGUACUUCCGGUUUCUGCUCGCACUAACAAAAUGCCUGGCGCGAAUUGUGUUUUGUUCGGAUGUUCCGCCUGCAAUAAAAGAAAUCGGGGUUGAUCAUUCUAUCGCUUACCCAAAAACAACAUAGAGUGGAGAGAGAAUCAUUACGUAUCAUACAGUCUACCAGAUCAGACCCGAUAAAUGACAAGACCUUGACAAUAUGUUCAAGACACGUUGAGCCGGAUUAUUUCGUUGAAAAAAUGUUUACAAAAAUUCUGGGUCCACAUAUCGAAGAUUAAAAGAAGGGUUAGGGAGACUAUCAACCUUAAUUCUUCUACAGAAAAGCGUAACAACAAAGAAAUGGAAUCCAAGGAAGUCACCGAGUCCAAGGAAAACCGAGGAAACUCAAUGUUUACAUAUGAACGAAGUAACCUUUCAGAUGUUGCAGAAAUCAUUUUUAUGUCAAAUGCCUGCUUUGUGGCUAUGUCAGUCUUCAAGUGAUUAUAUCUAUCUGUUUAAAACUGAAGAUAAAAGUGUAACAUACCAUUUAACCAUUGACAAGGACUUGAAUUGUGAA